ACCAGCCAACCAACCAACCAGCUAACCAGCCAAACAACCAGCUAACCAGCCAAACAACCAGCUAACCAGCCAAACAACCAGCUAACCAGCCAGCCUGCUAACCAGCCAGCUAAACAAAACGUGGUUUGAGUCCAUUUCAAAAUAGAAGAUGCUGAACAUCAGCAACCGAGCAUUGGAUAGACUCUACUCUGCUCUCCUCCUGGCCGUGGUGGUACUGUCGUGGACCUACGUCAUCUAUGGGAGUAGAAUAGCAGCACAGAGACAGUUGGAGAAGAGACUCAACAUCAAACUACACAACUAAAGCACCAGCGGCUAGUUCAACUCCAAUACACUAAAGUCUGGAGUUAUGAAUACCGUGGACUUUCCCAAGACAAAGUCAAGGCCCCUGGUCUUUCUGACUCAUUUAUACUCCACCAUGAUGAAUGCUUUGGUACCAUGUUAGUUUGUCUUAGAUGUGAGUCAUAUUUUUCAUAUUGUGCAAAAUUAUUUUUAUUAAUAAAAAUGGAAAAAAACUAAGAGUUA
This is a long non-coding RNA of Oncorhynchus gorbuscha (pink salmon), 522 nucleotides long. RefSeq lists it as uncharacterized. The transcript has 3 exons. NCBI's taxonomy places the organism in Eukaryota, Metazoa, Chordata, Actinopteri, Salmoniformes, Salmonidae. The record is from RefSeq and is a predicted model, not a curated record.